GCCUCUGAAAAUAUUAACGUACAUCUUAAGAAAGCCAUGGUUCCUCCAAGUUUUCGCAGUUUCAAAAGUUAAGACGACGAACGAAACAAUUCACGUGGCUCGACUCGUUGCCUCGUGUUCUUCUUUCAAAUUGACUGCACGACCGAUGACGCUUUAAGAUGUGAAAAAUGAGUUGGAUGUUUAUUUAUACCAUUUGUUCAUUCUCUUUGCUUUCUCUUACCAAUCUUACUUUCGUUAGAUAAGUCAUUAAUAUAGAAGCUGAAGAUUAUUGGGAAUAUUUCACGUUCAAAAGAGGAGAGGAGAAAAAUAAAAUAAAAUUAGAGGGCGGAAGAGCGGAAGAGAUGACAUCCGACAUGUAAUUUAUACUCUUCACUCUCUGUGACGAUCUUGCAAUCCUGAUGACACCGAUACGCGCAUAAUGAAUUCUCCAAAACUCUUUGAUCUAAAUUUUUGAUCAAAGUAACUUGGAAAUUGGGGAACGAUUAGAUUUAAUCCUGUUAAAAUAUUUCGCAUUCGUUCAAAUUGAAAAAUCUUCAACGUCAA
Apis florea (little honeybee) is the source of this 543-nucleotide long non-coding RNA. The record is from RefSeq and is a predicted model, not a curated record. Lineage: Eukaryota; Metazoa; Arthropoda; Insecta; Hymenoptera; Apidae.